GAUUAGGUAGUUGGUAGGGUAAUAGCCUACCAAGCCUUUGAUCUUUAGCUGUACUGAGAGGUUGGUCAGCCACACUGGGACUGAGACAAGGCCCAGGCUUCCUUCGAAGCCAGCAGUGAGGAAUUUUGGACAAUGAGCGAAAGCUUGAUCCAGCAAUACUCCAUGAAUGAUGACAGCUUUCAAGUUGUAAAAUUCUUUGGUUGAUGAGGAUUAUGACAGUAAUCAACUGAAUAGCCCCGGCUAACUUCGUGCCAGCAGCCGCGGUAAGACGAAGGGGGCGAGCGUUAUCCGGAAUGACUGGGCGUAAAGGGUCCGUAGGUUGUAUUUUUUGUUAAAGGUGAAAAAUUAAAGCUUAACUUUUUUUAAGCCUUUAAAACGUUUAGACUUUGAGUUUGAAAGAGGAUAGCAGAAUUUCACAUGGAGGGGUGAUAUCCUUAGAUAUGUGAAGGAAUACCAGAGGCGAAGGCGGUUAUCUAGUUCAAUACUGACACUGAGGGACGAAAGCAUGGGUAG
Molecule: ribosomal RNA, 513 nt
Filed under: uncultured bacterium
Lineage: Bacteria
Description: bacterial SSU rRNA
Rfam family: Bacterial small subunit ribosomal RNA
Source: RNAcentral